GUCUAUGGCCAUGCCAUCCUGAAUGUGCCCGAUCUCGGAAGCUAAGCAGCGGCGGGCCUGGUUAGUACUCAGAUGGGAGAAUAGAUCUGAAAGUGCCUUUUAGCUCGCAUGCAGGAUGGCAAUGGUG
RNAcentral lists this ribosomal RNA (127 nucleotides) under Microcebus murinus (gray mouse lemur). Lineage: Eukaryota; Metazoa; Chordata; Mammalia; Primates; Cheirogaleidae. The record is from RNAcentral.